RNAcentral lists this ribosomal RNA (1222 nucleotides) under uncultured stramenopile. Its description in RNAcentral is "SSU rRNA". It matches the Rfam family "Eukaryotic small subunit ribosomal RNA", at positions 577 to 1804 of the family's 1831-position model. The record is from RNAcentral.
CGGUAAUUCCAGCUCCAAUAGCGUAUACUAACGUUGUUGCAGUUAAAAAGCUCGUAGUUGGAUUUCUGAUCUUUGCCAAUGGUUGUGUCGCCGCGUGCGAGGCGCCUUGCGCAGAGGUCAACAUAUGUCACGAGCCAGUGUGAUCUAUUCAUUUAGGUCCACUGGGUAAUGACUCGUUUACUUUGAGAAAAUUAGAGUGUUCAAAGCAGGCAUUUGCCUUGAAUAUGUUAGCAUGGAAUAAUAGCAUAGGACUUCGGUUCUAUUUGUUGGUUGUUCGAGAACUGGAGUAAUGAUUGAUAGGGACGGUUGGGGGCAUCCGUAUUCUCAAGCGAGAGGUGAAAUUCUUGGACCUUGGGAAGACGAACAGCUGCGAAAGCGUUUGCCUAGGACGUUCUCUUUAAUCAAGAACGAAAGUUGGGGGAUCGAAGACGAUCAGAUACCGUCGUAGUCUCAACUAUAAACUAUGCCAGCUAGGGAUCGGUGGGUCUUUGUCACGAGUCCAUCGGCACCUUACGAGAAAUCAAAGCAUUUGGGUUCCGGGGGGAGUAUGGUCGCAAGGCUGAAACUUAAAGGGAUUGACGGAAGGGCACCACCAGGAGUGGAGCCUGUGGCUUAAUUUGACUCAACACGGGAAAACUUACCAGGUCCGGACAUAGUAAGGAUUGACAGAUUGAAAGCUCUUUCUUGAUUCUAUGGGUGGUGGUGCAUGCCCGUUCUUAGUUGGUGGAGUGAUUUGUCUGGUUAAUUCCGUUAACGAACGAGACCCGCGCCUGCUAAAUAGUCGGCCUCACUUCUGUGGGUGUUGUACUUCUUAGAGGGACCAUCCUGGGUAUACCGGAAGGAAGUUGCGGGCAAUAACAGGUCUGUGAUGCCCUUAGAUGUUCUGGGCUGCACACGGGCUACACUGCAAGAUACAUCAAGCGUCGAUCACGCCUGACUGGAAGGUCCGGCCAAUCUUUGAAUAUCUUGCGUGAUUGGGAUAGACCAUUGCAAUUAUUGGUCUUCAACGAGGAAUUCCUAGUAAACGCGUGUCAACAACACGCAUUGAUUACGUCCCUGCCCUUUGUACAGCAACCGCCCCGUCGCUCCGUACCGAUUGCGAUGUUCUCGACUGAUGCCGUCUUGCGAGGAGCUAAGCUCGAAAUGCGUCAGCUCGGAAGCUACGUCCGAAAUUCUGCAAAUCUGAAUAUCUAGAGGAAGGAGAAGUCGUAACAAGGUAACC